Long non-coding RNA from Diabrotica virgifera virgifera (western corn rootworm), 1947 nucleotides. RefSeq lists it as uncharacterized. The transcript has 2 exons. The record is from RefSeq and is a predicted model, not a curated record. Lineage: Eukaryota; Metazoa; Arthropoda; Insecta; Coleoptera; Chrysomelidae.
CAAGGGGUUAAAUAUCAAACAUUUUUCCGCUGGGAGGUAAACCCCCGGACUUCCCGGUAGGGGGUCCCCAGCCCCAAUAUCAUACUUACGGCCCUGGUACCUACUACCUAACCAAUAUUAAUUUCUUUUUGAAUUUAAUCACGAAAAAAAUUAAAUAAUAUAUGUAUCUUGAUAAUAUUGGUUUGAGAUUAAAAUAUUUAAGUAUAACCCAUAGAUAGUAGGGGAGGAAAGUAUGCUAAAUUUGCAGUUACUCGAGCGUUAUGUGGGGACAUAUUGGGUUGUGAAGAGUAGGUACCUACCUAGGGUUUUCCUACCUCUAGGUCCUAAAACCAUAAAGUGGGGCACUUUCCAUUUUUUAAUUUAAUCUUCCAUUUUCAACAAUCGUUUUUUCCGAUUAUAGCGCCAUCUAUGUAUAUCCAUAAUUAGAAAAAAAUGCUUCGAAUAUAAGUUGCUACGCACAGAAUCCAAAUCUGCAAUAAAAAUUGGGGGCUCCUAUUUAAGAUUUUAAAGUAACCCCCCACCACAUCUCCGUGCGGGGUUUUGUGUUUGGUGUCAUUCGAUAGAUUUGUCAAAAAUGUUGAAUACCUAAGUACCUACGUGUAUCUUGCAGUUUUUCGAUCUGAUAUCUGAUGUUCAUUUCGCGAAAUAUCGCAGGGUUCGUAUUUAAAAUUUUAAAACCUUCCACCCCUCUCCAUGGGGGGUCGUGUUUGGUAUCAUUCGAUAGAUUUUUAUAAAAUAUUGAACACGUAUUUUUUAUUUUUCGAUCUGACGUUCAUUUCGCGAAAUACUUAUUCGCUUUGUUUGUGAAACUUUGUGACUCACCCAUUUGCUUACGCCCCGGUCACCGGUCAAAUUGUUAGAUUUUUGAAAUAAGUAGGUGUAGGUAGGAAUACCUACCUAUACCUAUUCUUUAGAUGGGAAAUAAGCCACAAUUAAAUUUAAAAAAUAAUUUGAUUAACGUUUCGACGCCCAGAUCGGGUGUAGUUGUCAAAAUACAAAAUACUACCUACAUAAAUCUUUAUUUAUACGUCCAUGCCUCAACUCUUAACUCUCUAUAUCAAACUUUUUUGAAAUACCUACUAAUCAGGAGCGUCAUUUGAAAUUUUGCUAGGGGGGCAAACAUUAUAUAUACAAUACAUUAUAUACGCAAACAUAAUACAAAAUUGAUCUAUUUUUCGUAAAUUUCAGUCAUUUUCAGGGCAAAUGCCCCCCCUGACCCUAUCAAAUGACGCCCCUGCUACUAAUGCAUGUAAAGUAAAUCAAUAUUAUUUGGGAUUUUUUUAUUUAUGUUUUCUUUAAAUCCAUAAACUUUAAUAUCAGCCAAGACAAGAAGUUUCUCAUUUGUCCCUUACCUAUAGGUAGGUAAAUAGUACCUACUCUGUUACACUCUUUUGUUUUGUGCCUACUCUCUGGACACUCAAAUGUAUUUUUAAUAAGUUUGAGUAAUUUUUCAACUGCUUUUACGGAAGGAUUUACUCGAUCAAAUAAAAUCAGAAAAAUAAUUGUGAUUGGGGAUCAAUACCAAUACCUAGGGGAAAUUUGGACAAAACCGGGUACCCCUUGGUUCUUCUAACUGUCUGCUGCUAUCUAUCAGACAAUGUUAAAAUUAGAAACUGUCAACAGUCGCGUGUAUCCAUUUCUACUUCAUUUGAGUACUCUGUGCCGGAGCAGUAAGACCCCACCUGUUUUUUGAUGCAGCAAACUCGAUUUUUAGGUGUGGCUGACAUCCUUUGAAUUUAAACAUACAAUCAACCAAGAGAGGCCCCCUAUUAAAAAGUGAGUGGUAUUGUCAAAUAAUGCUUGAAACACGUGAAGUUUACUGUAGCUUACUACAUAGUCACCAAUUAUAGCUGUGAGGAAUAUUAAGAACGUUAGAUAAGUUGUUAAUUUGUUAAUAUAAAAAAAUAACAUUACAGCUAUUUUUCAAAUAAAUUGAGGUUAUAUUUA